Molecule: long non-coding RNA, 698 nt
Organism: Arabidopsis lyrata subsp. lyrata
Lineage: Eukaryota; Viridiplantae; Streptophyta; Magnoliopsida; Brassicales; Brassicaceae
Exons: 3
Source: RefSeq, a predicted model, not a curated record
CCAAUGGGAGGUUCUCUUGAUAAUUUCAUGGGGUUCUCUUCAUUAAAGUGAUUAAAAAUAAAUCAAAACAAGUAAUUUUGCAAAGAGUCGGUUCUCUUAAGGGAGUUUUGGGAAUCAAGGAGAGCCGCACACAUGGCAGAUUGUGAUUGGUUGCUUGUAUUUAACAAAAGGAAAAGAAAAACCCUUGUGUUUUCUUGUCGAAACGCCGUAGACGCCAACACGCCGGAAUCCUAUCCUAUCCUUUCUUUUGAUCCUUACCAGAGAGUUCAUGCUAGAUUCUGGGCUGAUUUCAUUGACAAAAAGAUAAAACAACUGAUGAUGUUGAGUUCAUAGAAGAUUGGGAAGAAGAAGAAGAUGAAUCACAUGUCACUUAACUAUCACGUGUCCGAGGUAAUGGAUAAAGAUAUGCACUAUGCAGAACAUAAAGAUCUUUCAAACACUUGAUCAACGAAGCCAAGAACUCUCAUCCAUUUGGGCUUUGAUGCCAUCACUAUCACCAAAGACUUAACAGUCUCUACCCAAUCUGUUGUUGCUGGAGUGUCAACUUUAACUUUGUAUAGAUAGAGAGAUUACAAUGUGUUGUUGCUGUUUCUGGAUUCUUCGGCGUAUAAAUUUGUGUUCUUUUAUGUGUUCUUUCAUACACGUUUAUGUGUUCCUUGCUAUACACUUUGCUUUAUAGAUGUGUUCUUUUAUGUUCA